This 2286-nucleotide ribosomal RNA is filed under the name Triticum aestivum (bread wheat). Its description in RNAcentral is "partial small subunit ribosomal RNA". The record is from RNAcentral. Lineage: Eukaryota; Viridiplantae; Streptophyta; Magnoliopsida; Poales; Poaceae.
AUGCCAGCAGCAUCAGCAGCCCUGCUAGUUUUCAUAGUAUGCAUCUCCCUUCCAGCAAUGGCAGCAGCGGCCGGAGUCUCAUCCGACCGCUCCAUGUCUUUGCCAGGCUGCCCGGACAAGUGCGGCGACGUGCUCAUCCCGUACCCCUUCGGCAUUGGGGAAGACUGCGCCGCAGCCAGCCGGAACAGCUACUUCAACCUCAUCUGCAACAGCACGAUCGAUCCACCACGGCCAAUGGCUGGUCCUCCAGAAGCAGUAGCUGAGGUCGCUGACAUCUCACUGGAGCAUGGCGAGAUGCGUGUGCUCAGCCCUGUCAGCCACAUCUGCUUCAAGUCAAACACCACAUUCACCAAGUUCACCGGAGGGUACCGGCUGCAGGACUCGCCCUUCCUACCCUCUCCAUCGCGCAACCACUUCACAGUCAUUGGCUGUAACACCAUGGGGCUCAUCGGCGGUCAGAAGGGCACCGCGAACCAGUACGUAGCUGGCUGCUACUCCUACUGUGAUGGUGUCAACAAUACGUCGGAUGGCGCACCAUGUGCUGGGAUGGGCUGCUGUGAGUCUGCCAUCCCAGCCAACCUCACCACCUUCGAGAUCAUCUUUGCAACGAACCAGAGCCAGGUAUGGGGCUUCAACCCAUGCUUCUACGCCAUGAUAGCCGAGGUUGGGUGGUACAAUUUCAGGCAGCAGGACCUCGUCGGCAACCUUGGGUUUAUCAAAGAUCGAGCCGGGAGGGGUGCUCCAUCCAUCGCUGACUGGGCCAUUAGGAAUGGCUUGUGUCCAGAGGAGGGGAAAAACGCACCUAAUGACUAUGCCUGCAUCAGUGCAAACAGUUACUGCAUGGCCAUGAACAAUGGUCCAGGGUACCUAUGCCAGUGCUCCAAAGGAUAUGAGGGAAAUCCUUAUCUUCUGAACGGCUGUCAAGACACAGAUGAGUGUGCGUUGCGUAAGCAGGACCAUAAGUAUGAAGAUUUGUAUCCAUGCAGAAAAGGGAUCUGCCACAACACACCGGGAAGCUACCUAUGCAAAUGCAAGACAGGAAAAAGAUCUGAUGGUACAAAUUUUGGAUACCAAUCUCUGCAUUCUCCAGCUCAAAUAUUGGUUAUCGGCCUAAGUGUUUGUGUUUCUGCAACUGUGGCGAUGGCGUUAACAUGCAUGUUGCUCAUGCAAUUUCAACGAAAAAGGCACAAGAGGGAGAAAGAUGAGUACUUCAAACAAAAUGGAGGUCUCAAGUUAUAUGAUGAGAUGAGAUCAAGGCAAGUCGACACAAUCCGCAUACUUACAGAGAAAGAGAUAAAGAGAGCCACUGACAACUACAAUGAAGAUCGAGUUAUUGGAUGCGGUGGUCAUGGUAUGGUCUACAGAGGAACUUUGGAUGAUGAAAAAGAGGUUGCCAUAAAGAAGUCCAAAGCAGUCAACGAUGAUUGCAGAGAAGAAUUUGUCAAUGAGAUUAUAAUUUUGUCACAAAUCAAUCACCGAAACAUUGUGAGGCUACUCGGCUGUUGUCUAGAUGUAAAUGUCCCAAUGUUGGUCUACGAGUUUGUCUCCCAUGGUACUCUAUCUGAGUUCCUUCACGGUGCUGAUCCUAGAUCGCCAAUCCCAUUUGAUCUUCGCCUGAAGAUUGCUACACAGUCAGCAGAAGCUCUAGCUUACUUACAUUCGUCGACAUCUCGCACAAUCCUACAUGGGGAUGUCAAGUCUGCCAACAUUCUCUUGGAUGAUCAGACCAACGCAAAGGUUGCUGAUUUCGGAGCAUCAGCACUUAAGUCCAUGGAUGAAAGUGAGUUCAUCAUGUUUGUUCAUGGAACCCUUGGCUACCUUGACCCUGAGAGCUUUAUCAGCCGCCGCCUCACCGACAAAAGUGAUGUAUACAGUUUUGGGGUGGUUCUUCUGGAGCUGAUGACACGAAAGAGGGCUAUAUAUACUGACAGCUUCAAUGGAAAGGAAUCAUUGUCCUAUACUUUUCCUUUGAUGUUUCAUCAGAAGACGCACCACGUUAUGCUGGACUCUGAAAUUACAGAUGAUGCAGGGUUGGUUGUCCUUGAGAACAUGGCUGAACUUGCAGUCCGUUGCCUUAGCCAGAGAAGAAAUGACAGGCCAACGAUGAAGGAAGUUGCAGAGAGACUGGAGAUGAUGAGGAGACUUCAUUUGCACGCAACCAAUGGUCAUGGAAACAACAUCUAUGCACAUAACUAUGGAGGCUCAUCUUCGGUUGUUGUCCCUUUCGACGAGGCAACACGCGGGACCAUCGACAUGUCCGAACUAGUUGAAGAUCUUGCGAGGUGA